AUGGCGGCGGCUGCGGCAAGGUCCGGAUCCCGGCGCUUGUUCUCCAUAUCCGCCCUGGUGCCACCGAAGCCGCCGACCCCUCCCCCGAAGGCAGACCCCUUCGCCAGCCUCUUCGCCCCCGGGUUAAGCAAGCGAACAACAACUGAUGGACUUAGGGAAGCUUUUGCAAAGUCUGGUGAAGUUGUGCAUGCAUCAUCUGUAAAAAAUUCAAGGUGGUAUAUGAUCAAUGCAAACCGUUCAGGUCCUUUGACAGUGCGUAAAGAAUACCGCAAAGUGCUUCCUUCUUUCAUAAGGCCAUCUGCAUCUUACUCCACAGAAGCCUCAGAAAAAAGACCAAAACAGGAGAGAACAGACUUGACGACUGUUGAAGAUCCCUUUAAUGCCCCUACCUACAAUAUACCUGAGAAGCCAGUGACAUUUGUCGAGGGCGCCUCUUACAGUGUUGUAAUACUUGCUGGGCUUGGAGUUGCUGCAUUGGCUGGAUAUGCUGUUUUCAAAGAGCUUAUAUUUGAACCAAAAGAGUACAAGAUUUUUGGGAAAGCUCUAGUAAGAGUUCAGAGUGAUAGUCAGGUUACAGCCAAAAUUGGUUACCCUAUAACUGGUUAUGGUACGGAAUCCAGAAACCGCGCAGCUCGGCAGCGCAUCCAAAACAGGGUUUGGACAGAUGAGGAUGGUGUUGAACAUGUGGAGGUAGGCUUUCACAUCCGAGGGCCGCAUGGAGCUGGAAAGGUCUUUGCGGAGAUGUUCAAAGAUAGCUCCGACAGGACAUGGAAGUUCACGUUUCUUCUCGUCGAGAUUACGUCACCGCGACCUGCACAAAUCAUGUUAGAAUCUUACCUACCAGCAUAG
This 849-nucleotide ribosomal RNA is filed under the name Triticum aestivum (bread wheat). Its description in RNAcentral is "partial small subunit ribosomal RNA". The record is from RNAcentral. Lineage: Eukaryota; Viridiplantae; Streptophyta; Magnoliopsida; Poales; Poaceae.